Molecule: ribosomal RNA, 450 nt
Filed under: uncultured bacterium
Lineage: Bacteria
Description: bacterial SSU rRNA
Rfam family: Bacterial small subunit ribosomal RNA
Source: RNAcentral
GUGGGGAAUUUUGGACAAUGGGCGCAAGCCUGAUCCAGCCAUUCCGCGUGAGUGAAGAAGGCCUUCGGGUUGUAAAGCUCUUUCGCAAGGGAAGAAAACUUAGUCUCUAACAUAGACUGAGGUUGACGGUACCUUGAUAAGAAGCACCGGCUAACUACGUGCCAGCAGCCGCGGUAAUACGUAGGGUGCGAGCGUUAAUCGGAAUUACUGGGCGUAAAGCGUGCGCAGGCGGUUUUGUAAGUCAGAUGUGAAAUCCCCGAGCUCAACUUGGGAACUGCGUUUGAAACUACAAGACUAGAAUAUGUCAGAGGGGGGUAGAAUUCCACGUGUAGCAGUGAAAUGCGUAGAGAUGUGGAGGAAUACCAAUGGCGAAGGCAGCCCCCUGGGAUAAUAUUGACGCUCAUGCACGAAAGCGUGGGGAGCAAACAGGAUUAGAUACCCCAGUAGUCC